CGGCGUGCCUAACACAUGCAAGUCGUACGAGAAAGUUGGCUUCGGCCGAUGAGUAAAGUGGCGCACGGGUGAGUAAUGCGUGGAUAAUCUGCCCUUUAGUUGGGAAUAACGUACCGAAAGGUGCGCUAAUACCUGAUAAUACUGCAUAACUACUGUUGUGUAGUCAAAGAAGGCCUCUGUUUACAAGCUUUUGCUGAAGGAUGAGUCCGCGUACCAUUAGCUGGUUGGUGGGGUAAUGGCCUACCAAGGCUACGAUGGUUAGCUGGUCUGAGAGGAUGAUCAGCCACACUGGAACUGAGACACGGUCCAGACUCCUACGGGAGGCAGCAGUGAGGAAUAUUGCGCAAUGGGGGCAACCCUGACGCAGCAACGCCGCGUGAGUGAGGAAGGUUUUCGGACCGUAAAGCUCUGUCGAGUGGGAAGAAGUGUAUCAUGGCUAAUAUCCGUGAUAUUUGACGGUACCGCUAGAGGAAGCACCGGCUAACUCCGUG
This 491-nucleotide ribosomal RNA is filed under the name uncultured bacterium. RNAcentral's name for it is "bacterial SSU rRNA". It matches the Rfam family "Bacterial small subunit ribosomal RNA", at positions 40 to 507 of the family's 1533-position model. The record is from RNAcentral.